AUGGGAUCUGUUUGGACACGGCGAGAGAGACAGUUUGCGCAUACUCAGGUUAGGGGAUGCUACCCGUCCUUCAUGGUGCAGUUUGAUAGUUUGCACGAGGAUCAAGUUAUUUGGGAGCCAUACUCGCCUCAGGCUAUAUCAUCGAGGUACCCAGUUGGGAUUUCUGAAUUGUGCACUAGAGAUCGGCACUUUUGGAUGACCAAGGCCAAGUUGGUGUUCGACGUGACGGUUGAGGAGAUGUCUCUUCAUAGGGUGAUGAGACAGUUCGGUCUAUAUCAAGAGCCUGUGAUUCCAGAUAUUCCACACUUGCCAGACCACGUGCACAAGGACAGUCGCCUAGGAGGAAACAAGUCCAUGACUUAUUGGCUUGAGAGCAUUACCCCUUACGUUGACGAAUGGACUACCGCUGCGACAAAUAUCUGGGGUGAGGUUCGGCCCUUUAACUGUGAAAUGUUUGGGUUGUAUCUGCAGCGUUACCGGCAUACAACGAGGAUCUACUUGGUUCCAUCAGCUGCUACUGAUCAGAUCGAAGCCCCUCUCACCAGCGAUAUGUACCCAACUGCCUCUGUUGUGGGAACCAGACACCACGCGGGUGACUUGACAGUACAGGCGCGAGAGGAGGUUUCCGCUUUAAUGCGGCGCUUUCAGAGGGGAGAAACUAUCCCACCGCGAGAGGGCGUCUCAUGGUUGAGGCGUCUUGAUGACAAGCUACGCGGGAUUUACGCAGCUGUUACGUGUAGACGGACUUCGGAUGUUGCACUUCCUCCUCCAGCACAUCGUCCGCCACGUCCCUCUGUACAACAUUCAGAACCACGACCCUCUGUGCACCGUUCAGAACCACGACCCUCUGUGCACCGUGCAGAACCUCAUCCUUCACAGCCAGGGAGAUCUUACUGGCAUGAGCCACCUCCUUCACAGCCAGGGAGAUCUUCCUGGCAUGAGCCACCUCCUUCACAGCCAGGGAGCUCUUCCUGGCAUGAGCCACCUCCUUCACAGUCAGGGAGCUCUUCCUGGCAUGAGUCACCUCCUUCACAGCUAGGGAGCGCUUACUGGCAUCAGCAGAUGAAUCUAGGCGGCAACCAGUCGCAACCGUUCAUGCAUUCAGAGCAGUCACCGAUCCUUAGUGGUGGUGCUUCGUACUUUGAGGGCGACCGCGAGGAUGAUGACCAAGCUACAAACAUUUAUGGCUUCUCGCAGACAGUGUUUCACACUCCACCACCACCACCGACGCAGGAGACACAGACCGUGACAGACGAGGUUAACUAUGGUCGUGGUUAUCGCGAGCCUCGUCCACCGCCUCAGCGCUUAUCGCCUUCGGGUCCUCGCCCGAGGAAGACCCAGACUCGUCGUCGUCCCCCGCAGUGA
This 1365-nucleotide ribosomal RNA is filed under the name Triticum aestivum (bread wheat). Its description in RNAcentral is "partial small subunit ribosomal RNA". The record is from RNAcentral. Lineage: Eukaryota; Viridiplantae; Streptophyta; Magnoliopsida; Poales; Poaceae.